This is a long non-coding RNA of Dermacentor albipictus, 816 nucleotides long. RefSeq lists it as uncharacterized. The record is from RefSeq and is a predicted model, not a curated record. NCBI's taxonomy places the organism in Eukaryota, Metazoa, Arthropoda, Arachnida, Ixodida, Ixodidae.
GUCAGCCUAAGUGGCGAGGAAGCUCUUCUCAUAACCCUACGCAGGCUGGCGUAUCCCAACAGGUGGUGGGAUUUGGAGCCACUGUUUGGCCGCCACUACUCCACUUUGUCAAGUAUCGUGUCCCAGGUGCUCACGCACAUUGAAGGCAACUUUGGACACCUGCUGGACUUAACUAAGAACAAGUGGCUGAACAUUGCUGAACUAGGUCGUUUUUCUCAGGCAAUGCAUCGCAGAGGUGCACCACUUAAAAACUGUUGGGGGUUCGUGGAUGGGACAGCGAGACCGAUUUGCCGGCCAUCGGUGAAUCAGAGAAUAUAUUUCUCUGGUCAUAAGCGCGUCCAUGCUGUGAAAUAUCAAUCUGUCAUGUGCGCCAACGGCAUCGUGUGCGAUCUUGACGGCCCCUAUCCAGGUCACAGACACGACGCCGGUAUCCUGGGAGACAGCGGCCUUUACAGCAGACUCGAGCACUUGGUGCAGGGUUCCUUGCACACCAUCUAUGGCGACCCUGCAUAUCCACUACGUCCACUGCUGAUGCGCCCAUAUGCUGGCUCUUCUCUGACAGAGACACAGCAAAGGUUCAAUACCGGCAUGAGCACAGCCUGCCAGGCCGUAGAAUGGGGGUUCGGCAAGACUGUUGGACUGUUUGCGUUUUUGGACUUAAAAAAAAACCAAGAUUCUUCUACAAAAUGUACCUCAGAUGUACAAAGUAGGUACAAUCCUUGCAAACUGCCAUACAUGUUUGUAUGGUAGUCAAGUUUCUAUGUUUUUUGGCUUAAAACCACCAUCUCUGCCAGAAUAUCUGGUUCCCGUCACUGC